GUGGAUGUAGCUCAGUUGGUUAGAGCACCGGAUUGUGGUUCCGGGGGUCGUGGGUUCGAAUCCCAUCUUCCACCCA
Molecule: transfer RNA, 76 nt
Filed under: Bacteroidota bacterium
Lineage: Bacteria; Pseudomonadati; Bacteroidota
Description: Bacteroidetes bacterium tRNA-His
Rfam family: tRNA
About the family: Transfer RNA (tRNA) molecules are approximately 80 nucleotides in length.
Source: RNAcentral